GAUGAACGCUGGCGGCGUGCCUAAUACAUGCAAGUCGAGCGAACAGACGAGGAGCUUGCUCCUCUGACGUUAGCGGCGGACGGGUGAGUAACACGUGGAUAACCUACCUAUAAGACUGGGAUAACUUCGGGAAACCGGAGCUAAUACCGGAUAACAUGUUGAACCGCAUGGUUCAACAGUGAAAGACGGUCUUGCUGUCACUUAUAGAUGGAUCCGCGCCGCAUUAGCUUGUUGGUAAGGUAACGGCUUACCAAGGCAACGAUGCGUAGCCGACCUGAGAGGGUGAUCGGCCACACUGGAACUGAGACACGGUCCAGACUCCUACGGGAGGCAGCAGUAGGGAAUCUUCCGCAAUGGGCGAAAGCCUGACGGAGCAACGCCGCGUGAGUGAAGAAGGUCUUCGGAUCGUAAAACUCUGUUAUUAGGGAAGAACAAAUGUGUAAGUAACUAUGCACGUCUUGACGGUACCUAAUCAGAAAGCCACGGCUAACUACGUG
Molecule: ribosomal RNA, 497 nt
Filed under: uncultured bacterium
Lineage: Bacteria
Description: partial 16S ribosomal RNA
Rfam family: Bacterial small subunit ribosomal RNA
Source: RNAcentral